CUAGCAUAUCAAUAAKCGGAGGAAWAGAAACCAACAGGGAUUGCCCUUAGUAACGGCGAGUGAAGCGGCAAUAGCUCAAAUUUGAAAUCUGUCUCUUUUAGAGUCCGAGUUGUAAUUUGUAGAGGAUGUUUCGGCUUACGCCCCGGUUUAAGUUCCUUGGAACAGGACGUCAUAGAGGGUGAGAAUCCCGUUUAUGGCCGGCGGCUUCCGCUAUGUGAAACUCCUUCGACGAGUCGAGUUGUUUGGGAAUGCAGCUCUAAAUGGGAGGUAAAUUUCUUCUAAAGCUAAAUACUAGCCAGAGACCGAUAGCGCACAAGUAGAGUGAUCGAAAGAUGAAAAGCACUUUGGAAAGAGAGUUAAAAAGUACGUGAAAUUGUUGAAAGGGAAGCGCUUGCGACUAGACUUGUCUUCAGUUGCUCCGCCGGUCCUUCGACCGGUGUAUUCUUCUGUUGUCAGGCCAGCAUUAGUUCGGGUGGUUGGAUAAAGGCUUUGGGAAUGUGACUCUCUUCGGGGAGUGUUAUAGCCCUUUGUGUAAUACAGCCUACCUGGACUAAGGACCGCGCUUCGGCUAGGAUGCUGGCGUAAUGGUCGUAAGCGGCCCGUCUUGAAACACGGACCAAGGAGUCUAACAUCUAUGCGAGUGUUUGGGUGUCAAACCCGUGCGCGUAAUGAAAGUGAACGGAGGUGGGAACCUUUUAGGUGCACCAUCGACCGAUCCUGAUGUCUUCGGAUGGAUUUGAGUAAGAGCAUAGCUGUUGGGACCCGAAAGAUGGUGAACUAUGCCUGAAUAGGGUGAAGCCAGAGGAAACUCUGGUGGAGGCUCGCAGCGGUUCUGACGUGCAAAUCGAUCGUCAAAUUUAGGCAUAGGGGCGAAAGUAAGUUAUAAAUUACCCAUGAGAAAUACUCUUUAAACUUUUUUACUAAUUGAUUUUUUUUUUAGGACUAAUCGAACCAUCUAGUASCUGGGUUCCUGCCGAAGUCUCCCCCCCACAGAUUUAA
RNAcentral lists this ribosomal RNA (999 nucleotides) under Helicoma guttulatum. RNAcentral describes it as "partial large subunit ribosomal RNA". It matches the Rfam family "Eukaryotic large subunit ribosomal RNA", at positions 34 to 985 of the family's 3401-position model. Lineage: Eukaryota; Fungi; Ascomycota; Dothideomycetes; Tubeufiales; Tubeufiaceae. The record is from RNAcentral.